Long non-coding RNA from Castor canadensis (American beaver), 776 nucleotides. RefSeq lists it as uncharacterized. The record is from RefSeq and is a predicted model, not a curated record. NCBI's taxonomy places the organism in Eukaryota, Metazoa, Chordata, Mammalia, Rodentia, Castoridae.
UUAGCUGUCUGCCUGACAUGAGCGCCUGAAGGGUGUAUCUUAUCUGCAGUGUCUGGCUCAGUAGUCACAUCAGUAAGUUCUCAGCAAAUACUUGUAAGCCAAUGGAAGUGGUAAAUGCUGGCUACAUAGAAGGCACAGUAUGAGAUGACUGGAAAACCAACAUUUGGUGCACAUGUAAGGCAACAUGGCAAAGUGCUGAGGUAUAUGGUGGGACCAAAAGGGAGCCCCCCCCCCGAAGAAUGGAGAUGGUCAAUGCAGGAUUUGAGGUCGUCAUGUGGAUAUCACUAUCACCUGAUAAGGAGACCUCCAAUCUCAUCACUAUAGGAGGCAGCAGAAUGGAACUGGCAAAAUUUCCUCAUCUCUGAUCCCAAUCUGGCCUGUCUAUGCUGGCCCCAAAGUUUCAUAUUUUCACUUAAAACAUGAUACAUUUGUCUGAAGUAAUUCAGCAGCAAGGCAGAAUGCAAUCACUAAAAAUGAGAGAAGUUGCUUUUUGUCAUGGUCCCAUUACAAAAAUGCAAGUAUGUGCUGCACUACCUGUAGCAAUUCCCCUUUCCGACGUGAAGCAAUGAAUUGACCCACCUGCUCCUCUGAACAAUAAUCAGAAAAAAACGAUGUGAAAUUAUUACACAGCAAAUUCCACUGUAUGCGGUUCAGUUCUUUGUUUCUAGGUAGACUACAGCACCUGGGCAGAAAAAGUGCCCCAUCCUUCAAUAGGCACAAACCCCCCUCACCUUCCAGACACUUGCUAAGCUUGCUAACAGGAGUAUUUGCCAACC